This 468-nucleotide ribosomal RNA is filed under the name uncultured bacterium. RNAcentral's name for it is "partial 16S ribosomal RNA". It matches the Rfam family "Bacterial small subunit ribosomal RNA", at positions 28 to 507 of the family's 1533-position model. The record is from RNAcentral.
GACGAACGCUGGCGGCGUGCUUAACACAUGCAAGUCGAACGGAAAGGCCCUGCUUUUGUGGGGUGCUCGAGUGGCGAACGGGUGAGUAACACGUGAGUAACCUGCCCUUGACUGUGGGAUAACUUCAGGAAACUGGGGCUAAUACCGGAUAGGAGCUCCUGCUGCAUGGUGGGGGAUGGAAAGAUUCGGCGGUUGGGGAUGGACUAGCGGCUUAUCAGCUUGGUGGUGGGGUAGUGGCUUACCAAGGCUUUGACGGGUAGCCGGCCUGAGAGGGUGACCGGCCCCAUUGGGCCUGCGAUACGGCCCAGACUCCUACGGGCGGCAGCAGUGGGGAAUAUUGCACAGUGGGCGGAAGCCUGAUGCAGCGACGCCGCGUGCGGGAUGCCCGCCUUCGGGUUGUAAACCGCUUUCGCCUGUGCCGAAGCGUGCGUGACGGUACUGGGUCAAGAAGCACCGGCUAACUACGUG